Molecule: non-coding RNA, 72 nt
Organism: Callithrix jacchus (white-tufted-ear marmoset)
Lineage: Eukaryota; Metazoa; Chordata; Mammalia; Primates; Cebidae
Source: Rfam
UAGAAUAUGGUGUAAUAGGUAACACAGACAGUUUUGAGUUCUCAGGUAUGGGUUCAAUUCCUAUAAUUCUAG